Molecule: long non-coding RNA, 884 nt
Organism: Vidua chalybeata
Lineage: Eukaryota; Metazoa; Chordata; Aves; Passeriformes; Viduidae
Exons: 3
Source: RefSeq, a predicted model, not a curated record
AUUUCCCCUGUGGAAAUGUGACAGCGAUCCCACGGGAGUGUCUGCUGAGGUUCACCUGCAGACAACCCAGCUGCUCUGUGAACCCUGCCCUGCCUGAGGGUGUUCUUGUAGCUCAGGUGGCCAAAGUCAUGCUCUGUCUGGUCUAACUCUGGAUUUGUGAGGCAGGUGGGAGGUCAAGAGAGGCCCUGCCUUGCACCUGGAUAUCAGGGCCAGUACCUGUCUGUGAGAAGCAUUCCUGUUUGAAAUGCAAGGGCAGUGAGAAAUCCCAGCACUCUGCUCCUGAGAAAGCUGUUCUGGAGGCCAGCAGAUGGGAAAUGCCAUGACCAGGAGGAAAAUGAAUGAGGACAUGGUGGCAGUGUCUCAGUGGGCUGCUGUGACAAUGAGCUGCACCUCCAUCUGAUGCUCUGAUGAAUCUUCCAGGGAAUAUUGUCCAGAGUUGUUGGACUGUGGGCUAAGCACCAACAACCUGAGCUGCCUGUAGUCCUGACCCAGCAAUGGAACACUGACAUUCUGGUCCAUUGCCAUGGCCCCGGAUCUGAUUACAUGGCAUGUACACAUCAUGUUGGCAAACAAGCUAGAUGUAUCCUUUUAUUAAAGGUCCAUCCCCACUGGACAUCUCUCACAGCAAAAUAGUUGCUUUGUACCAGCAAACAGCCUGUGUGAAUCUUGAGCGUUCUCUGGUUUCCAUGGAAAUCUGCCAGCCCAGCAGUGGGUCUGGAAGACCAGCAGGGAAAAAGUUAAUACAAUUGAAUGCAGAGAAGAAAAAGCAUUGAACUUUUCAGUGGUAUUUUUCUGUUUCAUUUUUUCAAAUGCAAGUGCUUAAAACGAUAUAUUUAUAACAGCUGGAGGAGUUUUAUAGUGCUGUAAAAUGCGGAGUUUUACAG